RNAcentral lists this small RNA (1592 nucleotides) under Pan troglodytes (chimpanzee). RNAcentral's name for it is "processed transcript". Lineage: Eukaryota; Metazoa; Chordata; Mammalia; Primates; Hominidae. The record is from RNAcentral.
AACAGGUUGGGUGCCGCGGGCUGGGGUAGGCGGCGGUUGGGUCCGUGGCUCGGGGCACUGGGAAGAUCGCGAGUCGUGCGCGUGGGAAGGUCCUCCCCCGGUCCUCCGGGUCAUCUUUGCUCCGAGGAGCGGCAUAUUUCGCAUCUGCCUGGAGGUUAGAGUUACUUGUUAUUGGUAAAUAGCCACUAUGGAGACUAAGGACCAGAAGAAACACAGAAAGAAAACAGUGGACCCAAAGCUGCAAAGAAAAGAAGUGGCAUCUGCAGGAUCUCCAGCUAGGAGACGAAGAAAAUGCCCAGAAGAGAAAUGCCAGUGCUUUUGCAGUUCAGUCUGCUGUGUGGAUGUCUCGAUCCUUUCACAGGACUCUGGAUUUGAAGACACAAAAGCAUCAUAUUCCAGUGGUUGAUGGAACUCCACUAGAGCCGCCACCAAUAGUGGUAGUGGUGAUGGGGCCUCCAAAGUUGGAAAGAGCACUUUGAUAUAAUGCCUCAUUCGGAACUUCACCUGGCAGAAGUUCACCGAGAUCAGAGGCCCUGUGACGAUCGUGUCAGGUAAAAAGUGCAGACUCACCAUUAUUGAAUGUGGGUGUGACAUUAACAUGAUGAUUGAUCUGGCUAAAGUAGCAGAUGAUCUGGUACUGAUGCUUAUAGAUGCCAGCUUUGGGUUUGAAAUGGAAAUGUUUGAGUUUCUAAACAUCUGUCAAGCACAUGGCUUUCCUAAAAUUCUGGGAGUUCUCACCCACCUCGACUCCUUCAAGCAUAACAAGCAACUGAAGAAGACAAAGAAGCGAUUAAAACACAGGUUCUGGACAGAAGUUUACCAGGUUGCCAAACUGUUCUACCUUUCUGGAAUGGUGCAUGGAGAAUAUCAAAACCAAGAAAUCCACAAUCUGGGCCACUUUAUUACAGUUAUGAAGUUUAGGCCUCUCAUGGCAAACUUUUCACCCUUAUAUCCUGGCAGACAGGAUGGAAGAUUUGACAAACCCGGAGGAUAUCCAAACAAACAUCAAAUGUGACUGGCAGGUGUCACUUUAUGGUUAUUUAAGAGGAGCACACUUGAAAAAUAAAAGCCAAAUUCACAUGCCAGGACAAGGUGGGGCUCACCCAUGAGCUGGUCCAGAGUCUCAUCUCCACCUACUCCACCAUUGAUGCCAAGAUGGCUUCAAGUCGAGUGAUGCUGCUUUCCAAUUCCAAACCACUUGGGUCAGAGGCUAUAGAUAAUCAGGCGUCAGCCUCGAGUUUGACCAGCAGCAGGGGUCGGUGUGUCCCUCUGAAUCUGAGAUCUAUGAGGCAGGAACUGGGACAGGAUGGCAGGAGCACCCAUGGCUGCUGCUGUACAGCCUGCUGAGGUGACUGUUGAAGUUGGUGAGGACCUCCACAUGCACCACGUUCGUGACCGGGAGAUGCCUGAAGCUUUGGAGUUUAACCUUUCUGCCAAUCCAGAGUCAAGCACAAUAUUCCAGAGGAACUCUCAAACAGAUGCUUUGGAGUUUAACCCUUCUGCCAAUCCAGAGGCAAGCACAAUAUUCCAGAGGAACUCUCAAACAGAUGUUGUAGAAAUAAGAAGAAGCAACUGUACAAACCAUGUAAGUA